UUGCUUCACAUAGAAGCUUUUGAGAGGGCUUUUAAAAAAUAAAUUAACAUAAGUGGAAAUUUUUCUACAGUUAAAAAGCCUCUUUUCCAACGAGACACCGUGAGGCCUCACAGUAACACAUGCAACUGAGGACAUUUUAAGCUUAAGCUACUGGCAUCAGACAAAGAGGAAUGUGACAUUCUGUGGAAGCAAAUGCAAAAACUAAACCAUCAGAAAUGAAAUGACAGGUAGAAUUGGAAUGUAACCCUCUCUCAGUUUAUUCAUCUGAGGUGGUGUUACUGCAAAUUAAAUAGUAUAAACAUUUUAUAUGGGACCUUUUUAUAUGAGACCAUUCUUCCAAAGUUAGAGGAUAUUGUAGUUCUAUAAUAGUGAAGUUUCUAUUAGCACAGUUUGGGAGAAGACAGCUUGUUUCUGUGAUUAAGAAAGCAGGACAUUUGUAAAGUCUAUAUAUAAUAAUUGGAAAGUAUAUGUAUAUGCAUACUUAGAAGAAGAAAGAAGAAUGUCUGGAGUAUACUGCAGUAACAAGCUAUUAAUAUUGCAGAGAAGCAGACCCACGUCUCCUAAUAACAGCUUUUGGUGCUCACAAAAUCCUUGCCCAACAGAUGCAACCGUGGCUUUAUCAAGGACUUCUGGUGACACUGUAAACCAUGAGAGUGAAAAAAUGCUUCCUGCUGCAGUGUUCCUGCCCCUGCUGCAGGAACAGCACAGACCAGUUUGCUUCAGACAUUAUAUCUUUAUCAGGCUGCGUGGUGAAUUAAAACUAAUGCAGCGCACAGGAGUUUAGAAAAACGUGUGAACUGGUGGUGCUGUGUCCUCUGGCAUUGCAUAUGCAGAUUUAGAUAAAUACCUUUAGCAAAUGCCGAAAGGUGUUAGUAAAUAGGAUCAUUUUGUAUAGUAUAAGAAAGGCUCAACAGUCUAUUCUGCUGGGCUAGAGACCAAAAUGGUUUUAGACAUUUGUUAUCGAAGCUGGAUUUUCAAGAGAAAAUAGGAACUCAAUGGAGUUUUGCAAAUAUGCGUGAAGUUGAAUGUCUGCUUUAGGCAUGUAAUUAUUUUAAUUUGGGUAUGUAAACCAGAUAAUUAUACAUGGAAACAACUAACUGGGCACAUUUUAAUUUCCUUUUACCUACACAGGCACUCAGGAGAAAUCAGAACUCUGCAUUUCCUACCUGCACCAACACCAAAAAGAUCUAAGGAAACUCAGGGGCUGGAUUUGCCCUUCAUCUGGGAAUCCUGGCUAGAAGGGCAGUGCAGCUGGAAUUUCCAUGCAAUAGCUUUUCUCAGAAAUGUUGGAUUUAUUCAGCACGCGAUGUAUAGUUGAUUCACACACGUGCGCCGGAGUGAGAAUCUAGAAGAGGGCCCCACAUGAUUGAUCACCACAAGCAUCAGAAGGAAAUGAUUCACCACAACACUGUAACUGAAACUGCUCCAACACCUGAUUGCAAACUUCACACCAGGGGUCUAAUUAAGUGCUGUACCUGCUCAGAAAUCGCUGGCACACACAGGACACCUCAGCCAGUACAAUUCCAGCUGUGAAUACCCACUACUAUUUUUGGUAGAAAGGUACAUUGCAUUCAGAAGCGAAUGGAGAAGUUAAAUAUGUAUAUAUAUGUUUUAAUGAUGAGAAUUAUUGUUGUAUUAUAACUCCAUUAACACUUUUUUUUUUUUUUUUAAAAAAAAGGUAACAGGACCUCAAUAUAUAUCUGAAAAUAAGCAUAUGUGUAUUUUUCUGUCUCAUGAUAGGACUGUUUUCAGCUUCAAGGUUUUCCUGCUUUUCCCCCGAACUUUAAGGUCUAAUACUAACAUUUGUGAAACAUUUUCAGAAUUGGCAACAUUAGGAACAUAUUGUUGGAAUUUAGAUAUAAACCAGUACAUGAAACACCAUCCAGUUACCCACGCAUUGUGCUCACAACUAAGCCAAUGCCUCAGCAGAUUUAUCAUCAGAAAUACAAGUUUGCAGUCUGCAAACAGACACCAUGUAUUCCUAGCAAAGAGCUUAUACAUAGUGAUUAGAAAUAAUGCAGAAAUAGCUGGCUUUAGGGUGUUUUGUUUGUUUGUUUGUUUGUUUUUGGGGGGGGGGAGGGAAAAACACCUAUUCAAUUCUUUUUAACCUGCCAAUAGUUAUAUGACUGCAAAUUAAUGUACUAAAAUACAGGUUUUUAUAACCAGCAUCCAGCACUGUAGUGUUCUUUUUCACUAUGUGGACCAUGUCAUUUGUUUUGACAAAUAAAAUAUUUCUUCCCUUUCCCCUCUUCUCCUGCUUCCCCCACUCAAUUUAAAUUUAAAAAUAUUUUUGAAUACUGUUUCAAGCAGUAAAAGAAAAAAAAAAAAAGUCCUAAAAUUUGGCAAGAGUGUGGAACAAUUUGGCAAUAACAGAGUGUGAUUUAUCCUCUGUUCUCGUUUUCUAAAUGACUCUGAUAGUUUGACUUGAUGAGAUGAAGAAAUCGGUGAGCUCCUCAGGAAAGCAACAUAAAAAGCCAAGCUGUGAACGCAGUGUCACAGUGACAUCAGUUUGAUGCUCCUAAAAAUAAAACCUAAAUCUCCAUCACAAUCACAGGUCGCACCAUGAGCAAAGUUCAUUAAGCACCUAUAAUAACAGCUACAUUUCUUACUAAUGACGUGUUAUUUUCCCUUUAAAAGCCUGCUAAUUCUGUGUAUGCAGAGAGCUCCAGUCACCUGUGUUAGUGAUGUCUGAGGGAAGAUUUAGGCAAAAUAUUUCUUUAACUUGCCCUAUACAGCGGCUAUGUGUGUAGACCCCAUAGUCCUGGUGUCUGUGCAGUAUUUGCAAAAGAAAGUUCUGUUUUGCACAUGUGCAGCUGGGACGGGCCGAACUGCGGGGCCUUGCCUGCGGUUUUUCCAGGUGCCUUUCUUGUUGCUACGUUAGAAAGGCAGAAUGGCAGAGAGUGCGGGAAUGAGUCAAUCCACAGCUGCGGGAUUUAAACAUACGAUGACCAGUCAUCUCACAGCCUCCCUAAGAUAAAUUACAUAUUGCAUUGCAAAUUUGCCCUAAACUGCCGACUUCUGAAGAUGUUUUUCAAUAGGUAUGCAUAUGCAUGUUUUUAAUGUAAAUGAGAGUUGGAGGACUAAACCAAGGUUUCCUGUGUAUUUUGCCUUCUGAAUUCACUGCAACCCUGAGCUCAGUAGCAAACUGCUAAUUUCAUCCUCAGCAAAUUCAUUUUCUCUGUGUAGACAGUUGGCAAUCUCAUCCAUGCAUGUUUCCAAUAUUAAGCAGAAACCUACUUCUUGUUCACUGCGCUUGAUCGAGAAAGACAAAGUGUACAUCUGGACUUGUCCAAAUUUCUCUAGCAAUCAAGCUCAAGAUUAUGGGUCACACUUUCCAGUUAUCUGUAAUCAGAUAUCAAAUUACUGCUCGAGUUAACUCAAUACUUUAGGAAGGAAAAAAAAAAAUAUCUAGUACUUAUUAAAAAAAAAAAUAAAAAUCACAAACUCAAGAAAUAAAAUUCUUUUUCCUCUAAAAACAGACCAAGGAGAUGUCUCCCAACAUGUCUUGACCACUCAGACACAGCCAGAAGCUCAGAACCAACCUGAAAACAGCAGUUCUGGAGGGUGAAACACUGAACCACCAUCUCCUCCUGGGUCACCUCACUGAGGUUCACUCACUGAUGCCUUUCAGGUGUCCAGGCACAUGCAGCUGGAACCACUAAACUAUUAGGCCAAUUUCAUCAAUCAGUGACAAUUUGCAAUCAAAAUUAAUAGGGAUUGGAUUCACAUGCAAUUGUUUUUAGCUAGUAGGCUCUGCUGCUAUUAUUGCAUAAAUGUUAUGACUCAGAUUUAAAGUUAA
Long non-coding RNA from Columba livia (rock pigeon), 3799 nucleotides. RefSeq lists it as uncharacterized. The transcript is spliced from 3 exons. The record is from RefSeq and is a predicted model, not a curated record. NCBI's taxonomy places the organism in Eukaryota, Metazoa, Chordata, Aves, Columbiformes, Columbidae.